This 128-nucleotide small RNA is filed under the name Marmota monax (woodchuck). Lineage: Eukaryota; Metazoa; Chordata; Mammalia; Rodentia; Sciuridae. The record is from RNAcentral.
GCCAGGCACUGUAGCUCACGCCUAUAAUCCCAGCAGCUGGGAGGCUGAGACAGGAGGAUCAUGAGUUCAAAGCCAGCCUCAGCAAAGGCUGGUGAGGUGCUAAGCAACUCAAUGAGACCCUGUCUCUU